UGGGGAAUAUUGCACAAUGGAGGGAACUCUGAUGCAGCGACGCCGCGUGAGUGAUGAAGGACUUCGUUUCGUAAAACUCUGUUCUAUGGGAAGAAAAGGACUGUACCAUAGGAGAAAGCUCCGGCUAAAUACGUGCCAGCAGCCGCGGUAAUACGUAUGGAGCGAGCGUUGUCCGGAAUUAUUGGGCGUAAAGGGUGCGCAGGCGGCUUUACAAGUUGGAUGUGAAAUAUUGUGGCUCAACCACAAACGUGCAUCCAAAACUGCAAAGCUUGAGUUAAGGAGAGGUAAGUGGAAUUCCUGGUGUAGCGGUGGAAUGCGUAGAUAUCAGGAGGAAUACCGGUGGCGAAGGCGACUUACUGGACUUAAACAGACGCUCAGGCACGAAAGCGUGGGGAGCAAACAGG
RNAcentral lists this ribosomal RNA (404 nucleotides) under Fusobacteriota bacterium. RNAcentral's name for it is "Fusobacteria bacterium partial 16S ribosomal RNA". It matches the Rfam family "Bacterial small subunit ribosomal RNA", at positions 355 to 776 of the family's 1533-position model. Lineage: Bacteria; Fusobacteriati; Fusobacteriota. The record is from RNAcentral.